RNAcentral lists this ribosomal RNA (492 nucleotides) under uncultured bacterium. RNAcentral describes it as "partial 16S ribosomal RNA". It matches the Rfam family "Bacterial small subunit ribosomal RNA", at positions 28 to 507 of the family's 1533-position model. The record is from RNAcentral.
GAUGAACGCUAGCUACAGGCUUAACACAUGCAAGUCGAGGGGAAACGACAUCGAAAGCUUGCUUUUGAUGGGCGUCGACCGGCGCACGGGUGAGUAACGCGUAUCCAACCUGCCCAUCACUUGGGAAUAACCUUGCGAAAGUAAGACUAAUACCCAAUGAUAUCCCACGAAGGCAUCGGAAUGGGAUUAAAGAUUUAUCGGUGAUGGAUGGGGAUGCGUCUGAUUAGCUUGUUGGCGGGGUAACGGCCCACCAAGGCAACGAUCAGUAGGGGUUCUGAGAGGAAGGUCCCCCACAUUGGAACUGAGACACGGUCCAAACUCCUACGGGAGGCAGCAGUGAGGAAUAUUGGUCAAUGGGCGAGAGCCUGAACCAGCCAAGUAGCGUGCAGGAAGACGGCCCUAUGGGUUGUAAACUGCUUUUAUAAGGGAAUAAAGUGGGUCACGUGUGACUUUUUGCAUGUACCUUGUGAAUAAGGACCGGCUAAUUCCGUG